UACGAAGGGGGCUAGCGUUGCUCGGAAUCACUGGGCGUAAAGGGCGCGUAGGCGGGUCUUUAAGUCAGGGGUGAAAUCCUGGAGCUCAACUCCAGAACUGCCUUUGAUACUGAAGAUCUUGAGUUCGGGAGAGGUGAGUGGAACUGCGAGUGUAGAGGUGAAAUUCGUAGAUAUUCGCAAGAACACCAGUGGCGAAGGCGGCUCACUGGCCCGAUACUGACGCUGAGGCGCGAAAGCGUGGGUAGCAAACAGG
This 253-nucleotide ribosomal RNA is filed under the name uncultured bacterium. RNAcentral describes it as "partial 16S ribosomal RNA". It matches the Rfam family "Bacterial small subunit ribosomal RNA", at positions 524 to 776 of the family's 1533-position model. The record is from RNAcentral.